ACAUGAACCAGCACGGUAGUUGGCAGACCAGUCUUUAUCCUACAUUGUCAGUAAUAUAGAUGAUUCAACCAACAACUUUGCAACUUUAUGAAGGUGCUGGAGUAAUGCAUUCAAUAGAAAUUUACCUAGAAUUUUGAUCUUCUUUCAGGUUGGUCUAAAUGCAAUCGAAAGGGAGUAAGAGAUGGAAGAGAAGAAAUAGAGGGAAGAGCAGGACUUGUGAAGUAGUGGAGCGAUGUAGCCACAGCUGAAGGAAGUGUGGAGCUACCGGAAAAGGCACCAGAGAUUCGCCAUCAGUGCCUCUGGAGGGAGUGAGGCUCUGUGAUGUCUGGAUUUCAGCCUUUUG
Heterocephalus glaber (naked mole-rat) is the source of this 343-nucleotide long non-coding RNA. The record is from Ensembl. Lineage: Eukaryota; Metazoa; Chordata; Mammalia; Rodentia; Bathyergidae.